RNAcentral lists this ribosomal RNA (433 nucleotides) under uncultured bacterium. RNAcentral describes it as "partial 16S ribosomal RNA". It matches the Rfam family "Bacterial small subunit ribosomal RNA", at positions 29 to 507 of the family's 1533-position model. The record is from RNAcentral.
AGCGAACGCUGGCGGCAGGCCUAACACAUGCCAGUCGAACGAACUCUUCGGAGUUAGUGGCGGACGGGUGAGUAACACGUGGGAACGUGCCUUUUGGUUCGGAAUAACUCAGGGAAACUUGUGCUAAUACCGAAUGUGCCCUUCGGGGGAAAGAUUUAUCGCCAUUAGAGCGGCCCGCGUCUGAUUAGCUAGUUGGUGAGGUAACGGCUCACCAAGGCGACGAUCAGUAGCUGGUCUGAGAGGAUGACCAGCCACACUGGGACUGAGACACGGCCCAGACUCCUACGGGAGGCAGCAGUGGGGAAUCUUGCGCAAUGGGCGAAAGCCUGACGCAGCCAUGCCGCGUGAAUGAUGAAGGUCUUAGGAUUGUAAAAUUCUUUCACCGGGGACGAUAAUGACGAUACCCGGAGAAGAAGCCCCGGCUAACUUCGUG